AGUGAGAGCGGGCGUGCUCGCGAUACAGGCACUGCGGUGUAUCAGGCACACCGCAGCGAUCCCAUCGCGAGCAAGCCCGCUCCCAUA
This 87-nucleotide non-coding RNA is filed under the name Pseudomonas psychrophila. Lineage: Bacteria; Pseudomonadati; Pseudomonadota; Gammaproteobacteria; Pseudomonadales; Pseudomonadaceae. The record is from RNAcentral.